UGGGGAAUCUUGCACAAUGGGGGCAACCCUGAUGCAGCGACGCCGCGUGAGCGAUGAAGCCCUUCGGGGCGUAAAGCUCUUUCGACCGGAACGAUAAUGACGGUACCGGGAGAAGAAGCUGCGGCUAACUACGUGCCAGCAGCCGCGGUAAUACGUAGGCAGCAAGCGUUGUUCGGAGUUACUGGGCGUAAAGAGUGCGUAGGCGGUUUUCUAAGUUCGGUGUGAAAUCUCCCGGCUUAACUGGGAGGGUGCGCCGAAGACUGAGAAGCUGGAGUGUGGGAAAGGCAGGCGGAAUUCCUGGUGUAGCGGUGAAAUGCGUAGAUAUCAGGAGGAACACCGGCGGUGUAGACGGCUUGCUAGACCAUAACUGACGCUGAGGCACGAAAGCGUGGGUAGCAAACA
Molecule: ribosomal RNA, 402 nt
Filed under: uncultured bacterium
Lineage: Bacteria
Description: bacterial SSU rRNA
Rfam family: Bacterial small subunit ribosomal RNA
Source: RNAcentral